AGAAAAAGUUGGGAGGACUUGAGAGUUAGAAGUUGUAGAAAGGAGGGUGGACAGCCAAGGCCAGGGACAAUAUGCUAGGUGCAGCUCUCACUUUCACCAGAAUUGAUGGUUGAUUUAACUGGAAGACAUCAAAAAUCAUAAAGUGGUGCAAAAGCAAAUGCUGAGGAUUACAGGAUUGAGAAGUUUAUGAGCUGGUUACCAAAAACAUGCCAUGGACCGCUUGAAUGAAGCUCACAGACUACUGGUGGUCCAGUGGUUGGGAUCCCCUGUUCUAAGGCUUCAGCAGUGGAUGUAAAUGUACAGGGAGAAUCUCUGGGUUGCAAAUCUGGUAACUCUAAAAAUAAAUGGAACAUUUUGCCCGGUUACAUGAUCCUGUCCAGUGCAUAUACCCAAUAUAUGCUUUCAUGACAAAAGCAAAAGCAAACAAACAAAACAACUAAGUGCACAGACAUCUGCAUCGUGGAUUUCUCAGUUUGAGGGUUCAGUGGUAGAAUGGAGACACAUGAUGAAAUGGAAAAAAGGAAGGCUGUAUUAUAAGAGUGCUGCUAUAGCAUAAUGACUGAGAGGCUGAGCUGCAGAGGAUAUCCCCAGUUUGAAUAUUGCCUCUGCCAUGUACUCACUAGCUGACCUUAGGCAAGUCCCUCUCUCUCCUUGCCACAGUCCCCUGAUCUGCAAUAUGGAGGGUAGUACUGACUUGCCGUAAGGACGUAAGAAGAGCCUUGCUGGAUCAGACCAAAGGCCAUCUAGUCAAGCAUCUAGUUUCCAGACCAUCCAUUAUUGCCAUCUCUUUCCUCUAAGGUGUCCUCUUUUCUUUAUGUCUGGAAACUGGUAAAAUUUCAGUAAACUGGAUCCUCAGGGGAGGAUUUGCAGAGUUAGACAUGUUUUUCAUAAAUAAAUAAAUGGGCAAGCCUGAAGCCAUGACGAAAUUAUAAUGGGGCAACUGAAGGAAUUGUACUUGGCAUCAUGCCUGCCAGGAACUCUUUGGCAUGUCUGCUGAGAGGCGACGUUAAGCGGGGUAUGCCUGUAUAUAAAAUAUGAAAACUUUGCAAAGAGGCUUCAGUAUGUUAAAAGUCCAGGUACUGAUUAAGAAUUG
Rhineura floridana is the source of this 1093-nucleotide long non-coding RNA. RefSeq lists it as uncharacterized. The transcript is spliced from 4 exons. The record is from RefSeq and is a predicted model, not a curated record. Lineage: Eukaryota; Metazoa; Chordata; Lepidosauria; Squamata; Rhineuridae.